Long non-coding RNA from Neopelma chrysocephalum (saffron-crested tyrant-manakin), 573 nucleotides. RefSeq lists it as uncharacterized. The transcript has 3 exons. The record is from RefSeq and is a predicted model, not a curated record. NCBI's taxonomy places the organism in Eukaryota, Metazoa, Chordata, Aves, Passeriformes, Pipridae.
ACUAGUUGCCUGGGAGAAGAGGCCAAUCCCCAUCUCCUACAAUCUCCUUUCAGGUCUGUCACUAUGACCUUGUGUCACCCCAAUAUGGCCCAGCACUGCGAGAACUGGGAUAAAUCAACACGGAUUAUGGACUUGAAAGUACCAUGAGGAAUGCUGUAACAGCACCAUGGCAGCAUGGCUAAAAAGCGCGGGAAGCUGGAUUUGUGUCAAGACAGAUCAGCCAGACAAGCCUCAUUUCUUACUUUUUAAAUCCCCCUUUAGGUACAGGAAGGCUGCUCUAAGGUGAACCCAGAGACAUCUCUUCUCCAGGCGGAACAAGCCCAAAUCUCUCAAGCACCACAUAUCUUCAGUGAUGAAGUGCCUGUCGUGGAAGACAAAGAAUAACAUCCAGGAGAGGGGCAAACCACCCACAGCAUCCAUUGCCUCCAGCUUGGAUUGAGAGGCUUGAAUUGAAACUUGGAAAUCAGAUUCCAGCACUGGGGCACUUCUGAUGGCUGCAUGGGGCCAAGGUUUCAUCUGUGGGAUCAGAGCAGGAGCAUUGUGAAAAUAAAUAAUAAACAAUAGUGACCAAAA